GGCAACUCACUGAGAGAGGGACUGAGUGCGACGGCGACACACGGGUGGCUGGAAGCUACUGGCGACGCGACUGGGUCCUCUGGGCAGUUGCGCGACACAAGAAAGAGAGUUAGUUUAGAGAGUUUAAAGAGAGAACUUAUCAAACCGAAAAAACACUAGGGAGAGAAAAUGGUGGUUGACGGCGAUGGGCUUACCGGAAGGGAAUGGAUGCGAAGGGGCUAGGUUGGCCGGCGUUUUCUGUGGUGGUGUGGGAGGUGGUCCGUCGAGGUGACUGUUGGUUGCCGAGAGGGGCUACGGUGGUGCUUGCGGGAGUGAGUUUUUCUUUCUUUGCGUGAACGAGUUUUCUCCAAGAAUUUUCGUGUGUAUAAUUCAGAGGCUUUGUGGGUUUCUUAUAGGCGAUGGGAGGGAACAACGUGAACCUUCAGGAGAUUGGCUGAAAUUUGAAGUUGCCCUUUAGGACCUAUUCCUACGAGAAGUCAGAUUCUGGGAGGAUUUUGAAGAGUUUGAGUUGGAGUUAGUCUUGAACUAGGAACCAAAUCUAAUAUGGGAAUCUAAUGGAUAAACCAUACGGAGGGUCAUGGGCAUUGGGUCAACUCUCUUGCAUUGAGCACUGAAUAUGUUCUUCGCACUGGGGCUUUUGACCAUACUGGCAAGCACUAUUCAUCACCAGAGGAAAUGAAAAAGGUUGCUUUGGAAAGGUAUAACAAAAUCAAAGGCAAUGGCCCUGAAAGAUUGGUUUCUGGAUCGGAUGAUUUUACCAUGUUUCUUUGGGAACCUUCUGUCAGCAAGCAUCCCAAAACUCGCAUGACAGGUCAUCAACAGCUGGUCUGCAGACAGUAGGCUUCUUUUGAUUGGUAGCUAGGAUUAUACACUCAAGAUGUCUUCAAGAGGGUGAGCAUAAGUUAGGUCUUGCAACAAAGUGAUGUACCUUUUGAGGCGUAGCGAUGGAGGUGGAAGAAGAGAAAGAGAAUCGACUACCAACAAAGUGAUGUGCCUUUUGACAGAUCCAUAUGGAACGCGUCUGGGAGCUACCAUGUACCUUCCCCAAAAUGCUGGGCACCAACAGCUCCAGCAAAUGGUCAACAAGCUUCUCAACAAUGUAAGCUUUAGGAUUUUGACUUUUUUCUUUUGUUGUUGAUCGUAGUGUUUUUUUUUUUUUUGCUGUUAGACUAACAGACAUUAUCAAAUAUUAGUCCACUUUCUAUGUCUAUUUUAUGAAAUUGACCCUAUUAUUUUCUUGUGAGCA
Molecule: RNA transcript, 1246 nt
Organism: Juglans regia (Persian walnut)
Lineage: Eukaryota; Viridiplantae; Streptophyta; Magnoliopsida; Fagales; Juglandaceae
Gene name: notchless protein homolog
Exons: 5
Source: RefSeq, a predicted model, not a curated record